Molecule: ribosomal RNA, 253 nt
Filed under: uncultured bacterium
Lineage: Bacteria
Description: partial 16S ribosomal RNA
Rfam family: Bacterial small subunit ribosomal RNA
Source: RNAcentral
UACGUAGGUGGCGAGCGUUGUCCGGAUUUACUGGGCGUAAGGCGCGCGCAGGCGGCAGUCUAAGUCCUCUGUGAAAUCACCCGGCUCAACUGGGUGGCUGCGGAGGAGACUGGGCAGCUUGAGGGGCCUAGAGGCCGGUGGAACUCCCGGUGUAGUGGUGAAAUGCGUAGAGAUCGGGAAGAACACCAGUGGCGAAGGCGGCCGGCUGGGGGCGCCCUGACGCUGAGGCGCGAGAGCGUGGGGAGCAAACCGG